ACGCUGGCGGCGUGCUUAACACAUGCAAGUCGAACGGAAAGGCCCUGCUUUUGUGGGGUGCUCGAGUGGCGAACGGGUGAGUAACACGUGAGUAACCUGCCCUUGACUUUGGGAUAACUUCAGGAAACUGGGGCUAAUACCGGAUAGGAGCUCCUGCUGCAUGGUGGGGGUUGGAAAGUUUCGGCGGUUGGGGAUGGACUCGCGGCUUAUCAGCUUGUUGGUGGGGUAGUGGCUUACCAAGGCUUUGACGGGUAGCCGGCCUGAGAGGGUGACCGGCCACAUUGGGACUGAGAUACGGCCCAGACUCCUACGGGAGGCAGCAGUGGGGAAUAUUGCACAAUGGGCGGAAGCCUGAUGCAGCAACGCCGCGUGCGGGAUGACGGCCUUCGGGUUGUAAACCGCUUUCGCCUGUGACGAAGCGUGAGUGACGGUAAUGGGUAAAGAAGCACCGGCUAACUACGUGCCAGCAGCCGCGGUGAUACGUAGGGUGCGAGCGUUGUCCGGAUUUAUUGGGCGUAAAGGGCUCGUAGGUGGUUGAUCGCGUCGGAAGUGUAAUCUUGGGGCUUAACCCUGAGCGUGCUUUCGAUACGGGUUGACUUGAGGAAGGUAGGGGAGAAUGGAAUUCCUGGUGGAGCGGUGGAAUGCGCAGAUAUCAGGAGGAACACCAGCGGCGAAGGCGGUUCUCUGGGCCUUUCCUGACGCUGAGGAGCGAAAGCGUGGGGAGCGAACAGGCUUAGAUACCCUGGUAGUCCACGCUGUAAACGGUGGGUACUAGGUGUGGGGUCCAUUCCACGGGUUCCGUGCCGUAGCUAACGCUUUAAGUACCCCGCCUGGGGAGUACGGCCGCAAGGCUAAAACUCAAAGGAAUUGACGGGGCCCCGCACAAGCGGCGGAGCAUGCGGAUUAAUUCGAUGCAACGCGUAGAACCUUACCUGGGUUUGACAUGGAUCGGGAGUGCUCAGAGAUGGGUGUGCCUCUUUUGGGGUCGGUUCACAGGUGGUGCAUGGCUGUCGUCAGCUCGUGUCGCGAGAUGUUGGGUUAAGUCCCGCAACGAGCGCAACCCUUGUUCACUGUUGCCAGUACGUUAUGGUGGGGACUCAGUGGAGACCGCCGGGGUCAACUCGGAGGAAGGUGGGGAUGACGUCAAGUCAUCAUGCCCCUUAUGUCCAGGGCUUCACGCAUGCUACAAUGGCUGGUACAGAGAGUGGCGAGCCUGUGAGGGUGAGCGAAUCUCGGAAAGCCGGUCUCGGUUCGGAUUGGGGUCUGCAACUCGACCUCAUGAAGUCGGAGUCGCUAGUAAUCGCAGAUCAGCAACGCUGCGGUGAAUACGUUCCCGGGGCUUGUACACACCGCCCGUCAAGUCAUGAAAGUUGGUAACACCCGAAGCCGGUGGCCUAACCGUUGUGGGGGAGCCGUCGAAGGUGGGACUGGUGAUU
This 1436-nucleotide ribosomal RNA is filed under the name uncultured organism. RNAcentral's name for it is "16S ribosomal RNA". It matches the Rfam family "Bacterial small subunit ribosomal RNA". The record is from RNAcentral.